This 1544-nucleotide ribosomal RNA is filed under the name Shigella sonnei. RNAcentral's name for it is "partial 23S ribosomal RNA". It matches the Rfam family "Bacterial large subunit ribosomal RNA", at positions 1401 to 2925 of the family's 2925-position model. The record is from RNAcentral. Lineage: Bacteria; Pseudomonadati; Pseudomonadota; Gammaproteobacteria; Enterobacterales; Enterobacteriaceae.
GCCGAAAGGCGUAGUCGAUGGGAAACAGGUUAAUAUUCCUGUACUUGGUGUUACUGCGAAGGGGGGACGGAGAAGGCUAUGUUGGCCGGGCGACGGUUGUCCCGGUUUAAGCGUGUAGGCUGGUUUUCCAGGCAAAUCCGGAAAAUCAAGGCUGAGGCGUGAUGACGAGGCACUACGGUGCUGAAGCAACAAAUGCCCUGCUUCCAGGAAAAGCCUCUAAGCAUCAGGUAACAUCAAAUCGUACCCCAAACCGACACAGGUGGUCAGGUAGAGAAUACCAAGGCGCUUGAGAGAACUCGGGUGAAGGAACUAGGCAAAAUGGUGCCGUAACUUCGGGAGAAGGCACGCUGAUAUGUAGGUGAAGUCCCUUGCGGAUGGAGCUGAAAUCAGUCGAAGAUACCAGCUGGCUGCAACUGUUUAUUAAAAACACAGCACUGUGCAAACACGAAAGUGGACGUAUACGGUGUGACGCCUGCCCGGUGCCGGAAGGUUAAUUGAUGGGGUCAGCGCAAGCGAAGCUCUUGAUCGAAGCCCCGGUAAACGGCGGCCGUAACUAUAACGGUCCUAAGGUAGCGAAAUUCCUUGUCGGGUAAGUUCCGACCUGCACGAAUGGCGUAAUGAUGGCCAGGCUGUCUCCACCCGAGACUCAGUGAAAUUGAACUCGCUGUGAAGAUGCAGUGUACCCGCGGCAAGACGGAAAGACCCCGUGAACCUUUACUAUAGCUUGACACUGAACAUUGAGCCUUGAUGUGUAGGAUAGGUGGGAGGCUUUGAAGUGUGGACGCCAGUCUGCAUGGAGCCGGCCUUGAAAUACCACCCUUUAAUGUUUGAUGUUCUAACGUGGACCCGUGAUCCGGGUUGCGGACAGUGUCUGGUGGGUAGUUUGACUGGGGCGGUCUCCUCCUAAAGAGUAACGGAGGAGCACGAAGGUUGGCUAAUCCUGGUCGGACAUCAGGAGGUUAGUGCAAUGGCAUAAGCCAGCUUGACUGCGAGCGUGACGGCGCGAGCAGGUGCGAAAGCAGGUCAUAGUGAUCCGGUGGUUCUGAAUGGAAGGGCCAUCGCUCAACGGAUAAAAGGUACUCCGGGGAUAACAGGCUGAUACCGCCCAAGAGUUCAUAUCGACGGCGGUGUUUGGCACCUCGAUGUCGGCUCAUCACAUCCUGGGGCUGAAGUAGGUCCCAAGGGUAUGGCUGUUCGCCAUUUAAAGUGGUACGCGAGCUGGGUUUAGAACGUCGUGAGACAGUUCGGUCCCUAUCUGCCGUGGGCGCUGGAGAACUGAGGGGGGCUGCUCCUAGUACGAGAGGACCGGAGUGGACGCAUCACUGGUGUUCGGGUUGUCAUGCCAAUGGCACUGCCCGGUAGCUAAAUGCGGAAGAGAUAAGUGCUGAAAGCAUCUAAGCACGAAACUUGCCCCGAGAUGAGUUCUCCCUGACCCUUUAAGGGUCCUGAAGGAACGUUGAAGACGACGACGUUGAUAGGCCGGGUGUGUAAGCGCAGCGAUGCGUUGAGCUAACCGGUACUAAUGAACCGUGAGGCUUAACCUU